CACGGAUCAACUCCGGUUGAUCCUGCCGGCGGGCACCGCUAUGGGAGUUCGCUUAAGACAUGCGAG
RNAcentral lists this ribosomal RNA (66 nucleotides) under Methanobacteriota archaeon. RNAcentral describes it as "Euryarchaeota archaeon partial 16S ribosomal RNA". Lineage: Archaea; Methanobacteriati; Methanobacteriota. The record is from RNAcentral.